RNAcentral lists this long non-coding RNA (235 nucleotides) under Homo sapiens (human). Its description in RNAcentral is "HSALNT0008029". Lineage: Eukaryota; Metazoa; Chordata; Mammalia; Primates; Hominidae. The record is from RNAcentral.
CCUGUGAAUUUAACUGUGCGCCUGUGUUUCUCAGAGCACCCGAGAAGAUGGAUGAUAGGCAGUGUUCUUUAUACACUGACAUCCUUUUAUAUGUUAGCAGUCUUGAAGUAAAGCAAGUGAUUGCAGUCUUGAAGUAAAGCAAGUGAUUGAGGUGGAGGUUUCAAAGCCUUUCACCUACUUGUGGUGGUUGGUUGCCACCUUUCUCCCACCCGCCAAAUAAAAAUUAAAUGACAGA